UAGGUUUUUUUUUUUUUUUUUUUUUUUUUUUUUUAUAUAAAAAAUUUUUUUUUUGUCCUUACUUGGUUUUAUUUGAUGUUUUUUUAUUUAGUUUAUUGUACUGUGAAGGUCAAUUAAGUUUUAUUUUAGAAUAAUAUUUUUUUUUAGUACCUUUUGUAUCAGGGUUAAUUAAUUUAUUUAAUUUAUUUUUUUUUCCCGAAAAUUUGAGAUCUACUUGAAAUUGAAUUUUAAUGUAAAAUAAUUAUUUGAAAAUUUUUUGUUGUUCUGAAAUGGAAUUCGUUCAAUUUUAUAUCUGGUUUUCUGGGAAUUUGAUUAAAUCAAGAAUUUCUUUUUGUUUAUUUAUUUUUUUUUUUCAUUUUGAAAUUUAAAAUUAAGGUGGAUAAGCUCUUUUUUAUUAUAUAAUUUUUUAAUUUUAUUUUUUUUGUUGGAUUAAUAUCUUUUAUCAUUUGAAGUUCGUUGAAGAUUAAUAAUUUAUUUUUUUAAUAUUUAUAUUUUUACUGGAAUUUAAUUUAUAAUUUUUUGGGUUUUGAUAAUGAUUAAAUUAGUAGAAUUAAAAAUUGUGAGUAUGAAUUAGGCAAAAUUUUUAUUUCCGCCUGUUUAACAAAAACAUGUCCUUUAGAUUUUAUUAAAGGUUGGGCCUGCUCAAUGAUUUUAAAUAGCCGCAGUAAUUUGACUGUGCUAAGGUAGCAUAAUAAUUAGUCUUUUAAUUGAGGUCUGGAAUGAAUGGUUUGACGAGAAAUAAACUUUAUUCUUUAAAUUUUUUUUGAAUUUUAUUUUUGAGUUAAAAAGCUCAGUUGAUGAAGAGGGACGAUAAGACCCUAUAGAUCUUUAUUUUUUCUUAAAUGGUUGUUUUUUAGAUUAUUUUAAGGUUUUUUUAAGAGUAAAUUUGGUUGGGGUGACAAAUAAAAUUUUUAACUUUAUUUUUUUUUUUCAUUUAUUUUUGUUUUUUUGAUCUUUUUUUUUGAUUUUAAGAUUAAGAUACCUUAGGGAUAACAGCGUUAUAAGUUUGGAGAGUUCUUAUUGAUAAACUUGUUUGCGACCUCGAUGUUGGAUUAAAAUUUUAUUGUGGGGUAGGUUCUACAUUCUUAGGUCUGUUCGACCUUUAAAAUUUUACAUGAUCUGAGUUCAAGCCGGCGUGAGCCAGGUUGGUUUCUAUCUUCUUUUAUUUAGUUCUAAUUGGUACGAAAGGAUUUUUAGAAAUGUAAUAAUUUAUUU
This 1215-nucleotide ribosomal RNA is filed under the name Penthicodes atomaria. RNAcentral's name for it is "16S ribosomal RNA". The stretch from base 989 to 1147 matches the Rfam family "Archaeal large subunit ribosomal RNA", at positions 2542 to 2701 of the family's 2987-position model. The record is from RNAcentral. Lineage: Eukaryota; Metazoa; Arthropoda; Insecta; Hemiptera; Fulgoridae.